CACAAGCGGUGGAGCAUGUGGUUAAUUCGAAGCAACGCGAAGAACCUUACCAGGUCUUGACAUCCCGAUGCUAUUUCUAGAGAUAGAAAGUUACUUCGGUACAUCGGCGACAGGUGGUGCAUGGUUGUCGUCAGCUCGUGUCGUGAGAUGUUGGGUUAAGUCCCGCAACGAGCGCAACCCCUAUUGUUAGUUGCCAUCAUUCAGUUGGGCACUCUAGCGAGACUGCCGGUAAUAAACCGGAGGAAGGUGGGGAUGACGUCAAAUCAUCAUGCCCCUUAUGACCUGGGCUACACACGUGCUACAAUGGUUGGUACAACGAGUUGCGAGUCGGUGACGGCGAGCUAAUCUCUUAAAGCCAAUCUCAGUUCGGAUUGUAGGCUGCAACUCGCCUACAUGAAGUCGGAAUCGCUAGUAAUCGCGGAUCAGCACGCCGCGGUCGAAUACGUUCCCGGGCCUU
This 457-nucleotide ribosomal RNA is filed under the name uncultured Streptococcus sp. Its description in RNAcentral is "bacterial SSU rRNA". It matches the Rfam family "Bacterial small subunit ribosomal RNA", at positions 924 to 1382 of the family's 1533-position model. Lineage: Bacteria; Bacillati; Bacillota; Bacilli; Lactobacillales; Streptococcaceae. The record is from RNAcentral.